Molecule: long non-coding RNA, 2014 nt
Filed under: Pelobates cultripes (western spadefoot toad)
Lineage: Eukaryota; Metazoa; Chordata; Amphibia; Anura; Pelobatidae
Source: RNAcentral
AUAUCAUCCAUUUUCUUUGAUUUAUCGGGUCCUAAAUCACAUCAUAUAUAAUUCACAUUUUUAAAUUGUAUAGUUUGUAUGUUUAUUGAUAUGUUUAUUGAUUGAGGUUCAGUCCUUGGUCCCCUACUCUUCUCCAUCUAUACUGCCUCCCUUGGUAAACUCAUUAGCUCCUUUGGCUUCCAAUAUCAUUUCUAGGCAGAUGACACGCAAAUCUACCUGCCCUCUCCUGAUCUCUCCCCGUCCCUCUUGACUAGUGUCUCUGACUGCCUCUCUGCUAUUUCUAACUGGAUGGCUGCCCACAUCCUUAAACUAAACUUGACCAAAACUGAAAUUCUGGUCUUUCCUCCCUCAAGUGUUGUUACUACUGUGUCUGUCUCCCUCCAAGUCAACUGUGCUACCAUCAGCUUCACCACGCAGGCUCGCUGCCUAGGUGUUUUCUCUGACUCCGACCUCUCCUUCAAGCCUCAUGUUCAGUCUAUCGCCUGUCGUUUCCAUCUCAAAAACAUUGCGCGCACCCGCCCCUACUUAACACCAGAUGCGACUAAGGUGCUGGUCCAUUCCACUGUCUUUGCUCGCCUUGACUACUGUAAUCUGCUUCUCAGUGGUCCAACUUGCGCCAUUACAGUCCAUAAUGAAUGUGGGGGCGAGGCUCAUCUUCCUGUCCGCACGCACCUCCCACGCCUCACCCUUCUGUCAGUCUCUACAUUGGCCUCCUAUAAGAUAAAGGGCUCAAUUUAAAAUUCUGUUUUUUGCUUUCAAAUCUCUACAUAAUGCUGCUCCCACCUACCUAUCCUCCCUAAUACACAAGUAUGUCCCGUCUAGGCCCUUACGAUCUUAGACUUACGUCUAUCUUCUGUCCGUACUCCCACCUGUGAUAGACAGUAAACUGUGGAUUUUAUGGAAUCCAAAGUGAAUUAUAGUAAAUUAAAAAUUUGGCCAAAAUAGCCAAAGUGAAAGCAUAGAUUACUUAAAGCAGCUCUAUGACUUUGCAGGUUUUGCUUUUAAAUGUAUCUGUUUCUGUCUGUCUUUGAUUUUAUUUAUUUAAUAAAUUCACCCUACUUUAUAGAUGCAGAUAAAAAGACUACUUUUUCUAAUGGGGUGGAUGCAUGAUCUUUGUUUAAGCCCUGCCCGUUGCAAACAAUCGCCAAAGUUCCAUUUCAUUUGCUCAGCCAAACUACCUACAUUCAGGGCCGUCUUUAACGCGGGACAAACAGGGCAGGUGCCCCGGGCCCAGUUACUCUUGGGGAGACCAAAGGGGCCGCCACAUUUGUCCUCUGCCCACAACAAUUUAUUUUAGGAUCACCGAUCCUUAAAUAAAUUGUUGUGGGCAGCGGGCCUGCACACUAAGGGGGCCCAUCGGGUGGCCCAUGCAGUUAGGGCCAUCCCGUGGGCAUUUGUAAGCAGGGGCCCUGUGGCCCUUUAACAGCCGACCGGGCCCCUUGAUUUUCGGCAGUAUGUGGGAGGAAGUGACGGUCACUUCCUCCCAGCUGGGGCAGAGCCGCACGGGAGGGAGAACCCUGAAGAAGCAGUGCGGAGGGGUCCAGGCCGGGAGAGUUGGACCCCAACUCCUAGCCACCGCAGCCAGCACACUGGACCCCUGUGAAGCCACCCUCCAGCAAAAGGUAAGAAUCUGGAGGGUGGCUUUCAAAGUGUAGAUUUUGCCUGUGUGUCUGAGUGUGUGUGUGUCAGUAUCCCUAUCAGUGUAUGUGUGACUGCCUGUGUGCGUGUCAGAAUAUUUGUUAGUAUGUGUGUCUGUGUGCCUGAGUGUGUGUCAGUAUGUCUGUCAGUGUCUGUAUGUAUGUGUUAGUGUGUCAGUAUGUCUGUCAGUGUAUGUUUUUAUAUGUGUGUGUCAGUAUGUGUGUCUGUGUGAGUGUCAGUGUCUGUAUGAGUGUGUGUGUCAGUAUGCCUGUGAGGGUGUCUGUCAGUGUAUGUGUCUGUGUGUGUGUCAGUAUAUGUGCCAGUGUGUCAGCAUGUCUGUUAGUAUGUGUCUGUGUAUCUGUAUGUUAUCAGUGUG